This 301-nucleotide ribosomal RNA is filed under the name uncultured bacterium. RNAcentral's name for it is "partial 16S ribosomal RNA". It matches the Rfam family "Bacterial small subunit ribosomal RNA", at positions 509 to 809 of the family's 1533-position model. The record is from RNAcentral.
CAGUCGCCGCGGUAAUACAGAGGGUGCGAGCGUUAAUCGGAUUUACUGGGCGUAAAGCGUGCGUAGGCGGCUUCUUAAGUCGGAUGUGAAAUCCCUGAGCUUAACUUAGGAAUUGCAUUCGAUACUGGGAAGCUAGAGUAUGGGAGAGGAUGGUAGAAUUCCAGGUGUAGCGGUGAAAUGCGUAGAGAUCUGGAGGAAUACCGAUGGCGAAGGCAGCCAUCUGGCCUAAUACUGACGCUGAGGUACGAAAGCAUGGGGAGCAAACAGGAUUAGAUACCCGCGUAGUCCCUGUCUCUUAUAU